GUCUGUACCACAUGCUACGUGCUAACCGGAAACCGCCUCCGGAUCCAGACUUGUUGUUUACAACACAGCACAUAACGCGGAAGUCCACCGCUCACACAAGCGCAUGCGCAAUGCAUAGCGGACUAAAGGCUUGUAGGACACCAUGAACACCACGGAGGAGCUUCGCGGCCUGAAAUCCAUACAAUCAACAUUUCAACGGUUUUGUAAAGGACAUACGUACACUUGGUGUGAAUAACAAGGUUCCGGUGACUGGCAGAACAGGCCAGUGGAUUUCUACAACAGUCACCAGAGCCUCACCUCGCAGGUGAGAACCUGUUGUUUGCCUUAACUCUUCUUCUGUGACGUGCUUUUAAAUGCUUGCUUUGAAACUGUGUUUCUGUUUAUCUGCAGAAACACAGGACCUCCUGAAGCCUUAGAAACAUUCCUGAUGCCUGUGGAGAAGAGCUCAGCGUGAAGCGCAACAGAACCAGAGACGUGGCUGCCGAGUUAUGAAGAAGUCCUUCAAAUCAAAGCAGGUGUGAAACAUCCAACUGAUGCAGGAUCAGGAUGAAACUUACAGCUGCUCCAUGAAAGGUCAAAGGCCAGAAUGGCAGCUAAUGAAUGUUUGCAUCAUGUCUAUUUCAAUUUAAACCAACACAAUGGAGAGUAUUGCUUCUUUUUCCCUGUUUGGAAAAUUAGCUGGUUUAAUAGGAUCUAUUUUAGCUGAACUAGAGUCGACUUUAGCCAAGACAGCACCACCGAAUUUUGUGCUAAUGUUCAUUAUUUCCUGCUUGGCUGCUAAAUACCAGGCAAGGGAGAAACCAAGAGCGGCUCUGAGCGGCUUACAGGUCGAAUGCUUCCUCAUGUUUUACUUCUGAACAUGUUUCAACAACGUGUAGCAUCUCUGGAGACCGAAGCCUGAAGCUCUGAGAGUCGUAACAUAAAGAGCUCAUGGGAGAAGCCCUUUCUGUUUGGCUGUGACGAUGCAAUGGCAGCAGCUUAGGGCCACUGUAUGGGAAAAAGAACAUUUCUGCCAAAAAACUGACGUUUUGAGAUCACAGAGAUUUUCUAGAGAAAACCGGAGAUUUCUAAGCUUGAAAAGUUGAAAAUUUGCUGAAAAAAAUCUGAAUGUUUUUGGGUUAACCUAAAAUUUUCUAGACCAAAUCUUCAGGGCUUGAAAAGUAUAAAAACAAAAAUCUCAAGAAAAUACAAUCAGAAAAUUGGAGAUCGAUCUCAGAAAUUUCCCAGAAAAAGAAAAGAAAUUUCAGAGCUCCAAAAAAAA
Long non-coding RNA from Poecilia latipinna (sailfin molly), 1261 nucleotides. RefSeq lists it as uncharacterized. NCBI's taxonomy places the organism in Eukaryota, Metazoa, Chordata, Actinopteri, Cyprinodontiformes, Poeciliidae. The transcript is spliced from 2 exons. The record is from RefSeq and is a predicted model, not a curated record.